RNAcentral lists this transfer RNA (66 nucleotides) under Ethope himachala. Its description in RNAcentral is "tRNA-Met". Lineage: Eukaryota; Metazoa; Arthropoda; Insecta; Lepidoptera; Nymphalidae. The record is from RNAcentral.
UUAAAAAUAAGCUAAUUAAAGCUUUUGGGCUCAUACCUCAAAUAUAAAGAAUAUCUUUUUUUUAAA